UUGGAUUUGUGGCAGUCGCGUGCGGCCCGGCAUUCGUGCCGGUGCUUGCUAGCGUCGCCAUCCUUGGGUGGAACCUGUGUGGCAUUAGGUUGUCGUGCAGGGGAUGCCCAUCGUUUACUGUGAAAAAAUUAGAGUGUUCAAAGCAGGCUUAUGCCGUUGAAUAUAUUAGCAUGGAAUAAUAAGAUAGGACCUUGGUACUAUUUUGUUGGUUUGCGCACCAAGGUAAUGAUUAAUAGGGACAGUUGGGGGUAUUCGUAUUCCAUUGUCAGAGGUGAAAUUCUUGGAUUUCUGGAAGACGAACUACUGCGAAAGCAUUUACCAAGGAUGUUUUCAUUAAUC
RNAcentral lists this ribosomal RNA (339 nucleotides) under Nitzschia sp. RCC5392. RNAcentral describes it as "SSU rRNA". It matches the Rfam family "Eukaryotic small subunit ribosomal RNA", at positions 634 to 978 of the family's 1831-position model. Lineage: Eukaryota; Bacillariophyta; Bacillariophyceae; Bacillariales; Bacillariaceae. The record is from RNAcentral.